This 428-nucleotide ribosomal RNA is filed under the name uncultured bacterium. RNAcentral's name for it is "bacterial SSU rRNA". It matches the Rfam family "Bacterial small subunit ribosomal RNA", at positions 355 to 775 of the family's 1533-position model. The record is from RNAcentral.
UAAGGAAUAUUGGACAAUGGGGGCAACCCUGAUCCAGCCAUGCCGCGUGCGGGAAGAAGGCCUUCGGGUUGUAAACCGCUUUUAGCCGGGAAGAAAAGGCGCCACCUAAUACGGGGCGUUCUUGACGGUACCGGCGGAAUAAGCACCGGCUAACUACGUGCCAGCAGCCGCGGUAAUACGUAGGGUGCGAGCGUUAAUCGGAAUUACUGGGCGUAAAGCGUGCGCAGGCGGUUCGUUAAGUUCGUUGUGAAAGCCCCGGGCUCAACCUGGGAACUGCAAUGGAAACUGGCAGGCUUGAAUGCGGCAGAGGGGGGUGGAAUUCCGCGUGUAGCAGUGAAAUGCGUAGAGAUGCGGAGGAACACCGAUGGCGAAGGCAGCCCCCUGGGCCGACAUUGACGCUCAGGCACGAAAGCGUGGGGAGCAAACAG